This 858-nucleotide ribosomal RNA is filed under the name uncultured Actinomycetes bacterium. RNAcentral describes it as "bacterial SSU rRNA". It matches the Rfam family "Bacterial small subunit ribosomal RNA", at positions 28 to 896 of the family's 1533-position model. Lineage: Bacteria; Bacillati; Actinomycetota; Actinomycetes. The record is from RNAcentral.
GACGAACGCUGGCGGCGUGCUUAACACAUGCAAGUCGAACGGAAAGGCCUGCAGCUUGCUGCGGGUACUCGAGUGGCGAACGGGUGAGUAACACGUGGGUGAUCUGCCUUGCACUUCGGGAUAAGCUUGGGAAACUGGGUCUAAUACCGGAUAGGACAGCUGUUUAGUGUCAGUUGUGGAAAGUUUUUUCGGUGCAAGAUGAGCUCGCGGCCUAUCAGCUUGUUGGUGGGGUAAUGGCCUACCAAGGCGUCGACGGGUAGCCGGCCUGAGAGGGUGUACGGCCACAUUGGGACUGAGAUACGGCCCAGACUCCUACGGGAGGCAGCAGUGGGGAAUAUUGCACAAUGGGCGGAAGCCUGAUGCAGCGACGCCGCGUGGGGGAUGAAGGCCUUCGGGUUGUAAACUCCUUUCGACAGGGACGAAGCGUAAGUGACGGUACCUGUAUAAGAAGCACCGGCUAACUACGUGCCAGCAGCCGCGGUAAUACGUAGGGUGCGAGCGUUGUCCGGAAUUACUGGGCGUAAAGAGCUCGUAGGUGGUUUGUCGCGUCGUCUGUGAAAUUCCGGGGCUUAACUCCGGGCGUGCAGGCGAUACGGGCUGACUUGAGUGCUGUAGGGGAGACUGGAAUUCCUGGUGUAGCGGUGAAAUGCGCAGAUAUCAGGAGGAACACCGAUGGCGAAGGCAGGUCUCUGGGCAGUAACUGACGCUGAGGAGCGAAAGCAUGGGUAGCGAACAGGAUUAGAUACCCUGGUAGUCCAUGCCGUAAACGGUGGGCGCUAGGUGUAGGGGGCUUCCACGUCUUCUGUGCCGUAGCUAACGCAUUAAGCGCCCCGCCUGGGGAGUACGGCCCGCAGGCUA